RNAcentral lists this long non-coding RNA (246 nucleotides) under Fukomys damarensis (Damara mole-rat). RNAcentral describes it as "lncRNA (ENSFDAG00000029128.1)". Lineage: Eukaryota; Metazoa; Chordata; Mammalia; Rodentia; Bathyergidae. The record is from RNAcentral.
UGUUCCUGGAAGCCGGGGAAGGAACUUUGGUGAGGGGCAUGGAAGGUUGGAUCUCGGGCAGAUUCGCUCUGCGGGGUGUGAGCUGCUCUUGGAGACCUGCCGGGAUCAGUGGCUGCCAAGACAGCUGGCAUCUGCCACCCCUGAAGGCCAGUGACCUGGCAGACAGGAAGCAGGGGGUCAGGGCCGUUGCCCUACUCCUCCACGUGGCACUUACUGGUCUCCGAUUCCCAAGGACAGCGAUGCUUC